AGUGAGGCUGAAGCGAUGAAAGAUAAGUGUAUGUGUUUUACUUUGCAUUCUCAUAGUCAUUGAUGGCACAUUCACUCAAAUCUUUCUUGUUGGUUUGUAUUAUCCUGUCACUGUAUUCUAGUAUUGUGUGAAUUACAUAGCUCGUUGCGUUCAGUGGGCAUCACACCCUUUGUAUAAUAAGUCAUUUUGAGUAAUAUCUCAUAUCCUGUUUCCCAUUAGGUUGUAAUAUAGAUCUUUCUCUUUUUUUGUCCUACGUUCAAAGUAGAUUUUUCAAAUUGUGUAUAUUACCUUUUCUGUUUCUCGGUACCUUUUGGUUUGGCCCUUAAGAAAAUGUAAUGGGGUGUGCAUAUUUCCGUGUUUGUCGGUUAUGUACUGAUCUAGCAUCUCAAGUCUCUG
This 396-nucleotide unclassified non-coding RNA is filed under the name Hevea brasiliensis (rubber tree). The record is from RNAcentral. Lineage: Eukaryota; Viridiplantae; Streptophyta; Magnoliopsida; Malpighiales; Euphorbiaceae.